RNAcentral lists this ribosomal RNA (512 nucleotides) under uncultured bacterium. RNAcentral describes it as "bacterial SSU rRNA". It matches the Rfam family "Bacterial small subunit ribosomal RNA", at positions 18 to 518 of the family's 1533-position model. The record is from RNAcentral.
CCUGGCUCAGGAUCGAACGCUAGCUACAGGCUUAACACAUGCAAGUCGAGGGGCAUCGAGGGAGAAAGCUUGCUUCUUGCUGGCGACCGGCGCACGGGUGAGUAACGCGUAUCCAACCUUCCCCCCAGUAGGGCAUAGCCCGGCGAAAGUCGGAUUAAUACCCUAUGUUUUCCAAUGAGGACAUCUGAGCUGGAACAAAGAUUUAUCGCUGGGGGAUGGGGAUGCGUCCGAUUAGGUUGUUGGCGGGGUAACGGCCCACCAAGCCCGCGAUCGGUAGGGGUUCUGAGAGGAAGGUCCCCCACACUGGUACUGAGACACGGACCAGACUCCUACGGGAGGCAGCAGUGAGGAAUAUUGGUCAAUGGGCGUAAGCCUGAACCAGCCAAGUAGCGUGCCAGGACGACGGCCCUAUGGGUUGUAAACUGCUUUUAUGCGGGGAUAAAGUGAGGUAUGUAUACCUUUUUGUAGGUACCGCAUGAAUAAGGACCGGCUAAUUCCGUGCCAGCAGCUGC